GACGAACGCUGGCGGCGUGCUUAACACAUGCAAGUCGUACGGUAAGGCCCUUUCGGGGGUACACGAGUGGCGAACGGGUGAGUAACACGUGCGUAACCUGCCCACAACUUUGGGAUAACGCUAGGAAACUGGUGCUAAUACUGGAUAUGUGCUCCUGCUGCAUGGUGGGGGUUGGAAAGCUCCGGCGGUUGUGGAUGGACUCGCGGCCUAUCAGCUUGUUGGUGGGGUAGUGGCCUACCAAGGCGGCGACGGGUAGCCGGCCUGAGAGGGUGACCGGCCACAUUGGGACUGAGAUACGGCCCGGACUCCUACGGGAGGCAGCAGUGGGGAAUAUUGCACAAUGGGCGCAAGCCGGAUGCAGCAACGCCGCGUGCGGGAUGACGGCCUUCGGGUUGUAAACCGCUUUCAGCAGGGACGAAGCUUUUUGUGACGGUACCUGCAGAAGAAGCACCGGCUAACUCCGU
RNAcentral lists this ribosomal RNA (464 nucleotides) under uncultured bacterium. RNAcentral's name for it is "partial 16S ribosomal RNA". It matches the Rfam family "Bacterial small subunit ribosomal RNA", at positions 28 to 506 of the family's 1533-position model. The record is from RNAcentral.